RNAcentral lists this ribosomal RNA (701 nucleotides) under Celeribacter sp. Its description in RNAcentral is "bacterial SSU rRNA". It matches the Rfam family "Bacterial small subunit ribosomal RNA", at positions 136 to 873 of the family's 1533-position model. The record is from RNAcentral. Lineage: Bacteria; Pseudomonadati; Pseudomonadota; Alphaproteobacteria; Rhodobacterales; Roseobacteraceae.
CUACGGAAUAGUCCCGGGAAACUGGGUUUAAUACCGUAUACGCCCUUCGGGGGAAAGAAUUUCGGUGAGGGAUCGGCCCGCGUUAGAUUAGUUAGUUGGUGGGGUAAUGGCCUACCAAGACUACGAUCUAUAGCUGGUUUGAGAGGAUGAUCAGCAACACUGGGACUGAGACACGGCCCAGACUCCUACGGGAGGCAGCAGUGGGGAAUCUUAGACAAUGGGGGCAACCCUGAUCUAGCGAUGCCGCGUGAGUGAUGAAGGCCUUAGGGUCGUAAAGCUCUUUCGCCUGUGAUGAUAAUGACAGUAGCAGGUAAAGAAACCCCGGCUAACUCCGUGCCAGCAGCCGCGGUAAUACGGAGGGGGUUAGCGUUGUUCGGAAUUACUGGGCGUAAAGCGCACGUAGGCGGAUUAGUCAGUCAGAGGUGAAAUCCCAGGGCUCAACCCUGGAACUGCCUUUGAUACUGCUAGUCUUGAGUUCGAGAGAGGUAAGUGGAAUUCCGAGUGUAGAGGUGAAAUUCGUAGAUAUUCGGAGGAACACCAGUGGCGAAGGCGGCUUACUGGCUCGAUACUGACGCUGAGGUGCGAAAGUGUGGGGAGCAAACAGGAUUAGAUACCCUGGUAGUCCACACCGUAAACGAUGAAUGCCAGUCGUCGGGUAGCAUGCUAUUCGGUGACACACCUAACGGAUUAAGCAUUCCGCC